CAAUGUAGGGUAAUAACUGCUUGAUCCAAGGAUAAAUCUGACUGCCAUUCUGGGGUCAAGAAGGAAUUUUUUUCCUAGCUUGUUGCAAAAUUGUGCUUCAAACUGGGUUUUUUUGCCUUCUUUUGGAUCAACAGCAAAAAACAAAUGUGAGGAAGGCUGAACUUGAUGGACGUAAGUCUCUUUUCAGCUAUGUAACUAUGUAACUAUGUAACUAUGUAACUA
Pelobates cultripes (western spadefoot toad) is the source of this 222-nucleotide non-coding RNA. The record is from the annotation of a GenBank genome assembly. Lineage: Eukaryota; Metazoa; Chordata; Amphibia; Anura; Pelobatidae.